UGAAGUCCCUUCGACCGCCAAGCGUUCAGAUAUCCUCGAAAAUCCAGAACUAGGGUUUAUUCGGCCAAUCACUUCUCAAGUAAAGUAAAUCUCAUCUCAACAAUAUUCGUUUUCUGGAUAAGAAAUCGUGAAAUUUGAUAGUUCUAAUAUCUUUCUAAUUUCUUAUUUUCCUUUCGUUUAAAGCAUGGCUGGAGAUGGAAAUGAGAUCAUUCUCAAUGGCCAAAUUACUUCAUUUAUGCUAAUUAGCUUAGAUUUUUAUAAGAAAAUUAAGUGUAAGACAUCAUUUGAUUGCAAUCAAAAAUUUACCAGUGAUUGUGCUUUUCCCGAGUGCCGAUGAUGACUCCGUAGGCUUGUAAUGAUUGUGGAGAUGAACACAAAAUUUUUUUAUCAAAUUUUAUCGGUCUGAGGCUCGUCCAUUCAAUUCAACAUAUUAAAUUUGAUUUUCUUGUUUGGUUUGUACUUUCAGCUAAGAAACUUUUAUUUACUGCUAAAGUUAUCUUUUCUUAUGUUGAGCAUAAGCUUGUAACGGUGUCAUUAUAUGUAGUGUUACUCAGCCAUCAUUUGGAAACAAAUAAUGGAUGCCAAUGAUGAUUUCGUAGGCUUGUAAUGACUGUGGUGAUGAUCACAUGCUUUACUUUACAAACAACAGUCUGAGGCUAUAUUCUUCUUUGUAAUCCUUGUGUUAUAGCAAUGAACGGGAAAGGAUAUAGAGAGGACCGUAGGAAACUAGAGUUUGGAUGAGUUACUUUUUCUUUUAAGUAAAAGUAUUGCUUAUUGUAUGAUUAACUCAUUUGUCAAAAUAAGUAACCUUCUUAUUUUCAAGUUUGAUUAAUUAAAAGAUCUCACCUGCUCAUUUCCCAAACUCAUAUGGUUAUUUAGGCUUUUCCAAGUUGUGACAUCUGUAUUCUGUGCUGCAGAUGGUUAACUCUCUAUUUGGUGCUUAGUGGAUUUUUUUGAUAUAAAUGGAUGCCAAUGAUGACUUCGUAGGCUUGUAAUGAUUGUGGAGAUGACCACAUUUUUUACUCUGCAAACAAUACUUUCUGAGGCGUUAUUCUUCUUUGUAAUGCUUGUGCUAAUGAGGCAUGGCUGGCUUGAUGAUUACUAAUGUUAACAAUGAUUGGUUGCAACUAGUUAUAUUCCUAUCCCUUCCCUCGAACGAAAAGGAAAAAUACAUUUUUAUGAAGAAAAAUCUGUUGUACUUUUUAUGCAUAGUUGAUUUAUGGAGGAAGUGAUAAAUCUAUUAGAAUUAUAUAUUCUGGUUGCAUAUUUUCGUAUGAUGAUACACGGUCAUGAAAUAUAGACAUUCAUUUUUUAUUUAUUUAUUUUUAUUUUUUAUUUUUUUUGGCAUUUGAAGGAUUUAGGUCAUGUUUUCUGAUUAAUCUUUCUAGUUGAUAUCCAUGUUAUUCAUAUGAAUUUCUAUUCCAUUUUGGAGAUGACCUUCAUUGCGGAAGGACAUCUUGGGGGACUUCCAGUAGAAGAUUUGUUCAAUGAAGUUACUCAACUGUAGAUAUUAGCCACUGUGGAUGUCGGUAACGACUCUAAUUGUUCUAAUGAAAGUUUAGCAUUGUUCAAUGGAAGCUGCUUUCUUUUGUAUUUAUGGUCGUUCGAUAACCAGUGGUGACAAUGCUUGUGAGCACGUGAGGAGGAUGAAAAGCUGGAAUUUCUUGUAUUAAUGAUGUUUUUUUGUAGUUAUUUUAUAUUUAUGACUUUUUUGGUAAGGUACACUAUGAUAAAAUCUUAUAAACUAAAUGGAAAUCGAAAUGUACAGGCCAUAUGCACAUGGAGUACAUUGUAAUUUGUGCGGUAGUUCAUGGAAGAUUCAAUCUUGACAUAUUGAAAUUAGUUUUGUUCAUUUCUUA
This is a long non-coding RNA of Olea europaea var. sylvestris, 1859 nucleotides long. RefSeq lists it as uncharacterized. The record is from RefSeq and is a predicted model, not a curated record. The transcript is spliced from 2 exons. NCBI's taxonomy places the organism in Eukaryota, Viridiplantae, Streptophyta, Magnoliopsida, Lamiales, Oleaceae.